RNAcentral lists this long non-coding RNA (777 nucleotides) under Mus musculus (house mouse). RNAcentral describes it as "long non-coding RNA chr3:24486711-24487488". Lineage: Eukaryota; Metazoa; Chordata; Mammalia; Rodentia; Muridae. The record is from RNAcentral.
GAAAGAACUCAGUCUCAGCUACUGUCACUAUCACCCAGAUUUCCAAUGAAGUGCAAGGAUUCUAAAGUGCAGUGAUUACAUGUUUAUCUUUAUAUUUACUGAGGUUUACUUCUUUACAUUUGUAGCAGCUGCCUUGGCUUGGUUUACAGUGGUUCAGAUUCUAAGGGAAGAGUUAAGAUUAGCUUGAGCCUUUAAAACCGGUUUCUGACAGCCAAUAUGUCGCACACAGUGGCUUAUGCAUAUAUCUGGGAUUGUUUGCAUGCUAGUGUAUUCGCUGACAGCAGCAAAUGCAUAUUUAUGCACAUUUUAAUAUCUGCAAUUGUAUUUAUUGUACAUCACAGCUUCUUGAGGCUCAUUUAGAUGGCCAUAAGGUGUUUGUUUACAAGUGCUGAUGAGGAACCAGAAAAAGGUAGCUGUAACUGACAAAAGGGAAAUAUUUAGCUUGUAGUUAGCAUGCACUGACUGUAUAAGAAUAUAUUGGUUACGAUAAAUGAAUUUUACUUAGCUAUAAUCAUCCUCUGAAGGUGUAACAGCAAUUGAUGAUUUAGAUUUGUUUAAGUAUAAAGGUCAGAACAAAACUCAGUUGUUCAUACUCAAGAUGUGAAAAUGUAGAACGUAAUCACACACCAUUUCUACACCUUGUAACAUAGUUGUACAAAAGUUCCGCCAUUUUUAUUAGAGCCGUAACUGUAAUGUGUCUUUUUCAUUGUUCUAUAUACUAUUGGGAAAUCUAUCACCAUGAAAGAAAUCAAAUACAAGUAGGCAUAAAAUUUACAG